This is a long non-coding RNA of Oreochromis aureus, 2110 nucleotides long. Lineage: Eukaryota; Metazoa; Chordata; Actinopteri; Cichliformes; Cichlidae. The record is from Ensembl.
GUCUAAACCUAACGGAGCUUCGCGAUAACGCAGAAGAAGGUUGAUAACGGAAAUCAGAUCGUCAGGAUGAGCCUUUCAUCAGUGUUUGUGUUCAUUCUUCCUUUUAUCUGUGAGGCGUUGGGAGCGCUGAUCCAAACCACUGUGGGGGCAGAUGUCGAGUUUCCGCUCUCAGAGGAGUGCAGGAAGGGAGAAGGCACACUGUAUCAGCGGCUGGAUGAUGCCAGCACUCAGCUCAUCGCAUCUCUAAAUGGUUACUGGAAGCCAGGGCGAGAUUACACUGACCGUGUGGUCGUAGGACGCGAUUCUUUAAUCUUAACAAAUGCUAACUUCAAUGACAACGGACAUUAUGAGUUUACCUGCAACAAGAAACACUUGGAAGCUUACAAGCUGGAGGUAUUUGUGCCCUCUGAAGUUGCUGUAUCCGAGGGUGGGGAUGCCAUCCUCCCGUGUCGCUCCGUCACAGCGGGCCAGUCGGUGAAGUCUGCGCGCUGGAGGAGAAACGGGGAAGUACUGCUGGAGCUGAAUGGUCGGACGGGGGAAAUCACAUACGGGGAUGACUUUAACAGAAGCCAGGUAUCGAUACCAUCUGACUGGGACCGACGGGCAGACCUGUCCCUCACCAUAAAGGGAGCUCAGCAACAAGAUGGAGGAGUUUAUUACUGUGAUGUAGAGAAGGCCGAGAAACACCGCUCUGCUGUGCGCCUGCGAGUGCGCAAACCACCGGAGUCCUACCACUGGAUAUGGAUCACAAUCAUCAUAACAGCAGCUGUGACAUCUGUGAUUGUUUUUACUCUCAAGUUCUUUUGGGGCUGGAGAGAGAAGACCAAGGGUGUACAUGCAUGAAGAGAGCAGAGGAGACAGUGCCCGAAACAGUCCACUAAAUGACCAAUCAUUUAUAAUCAGGAGGAAAGCACAUCUCUAAAAAUUGCCCUGCCAAGUCUUCUGAUGUUAUACUGCCUGUAAAAAUGAAUAGAAAUAGCUUUUUGUUGUGCAUUACUUUUAGUACCAAAGUCCAAACCCGAACCUUUAUUUCACUGUGUAAUGAAAGUCUUCAUGGCAAAAUAAACAGCAGAUAUCUGCACACUGCUAACUUACAGUGUAAAGAUAAAAGAAUACACACAUACAGAGAUUUCUUUCUGACUUUUGACUUAUUGAUUUAUUUGUGUCUUCUUCUUGGCAGCUCUUCACUUGGUACAGUUGAAGGUCUGUCCUGAGAAAAAGGUAUAGCUUGGUUAUAGCAACAGCUAAUAAUCAAUUUUUAUGAUUUCUUCAUUGAUCUGUAAGAGGCUGGAGCUUAUAGUUAAUGAAUGCAACAGUCUGGGUUGAGUAGUUGAAUUUAUUCUCUUUGUGUUGAGGACAAAAGAGUCUUCAGGCCUCCAAAAGACCUUUUAAAGGUUCCAGGUGCCACCAAGUGUGACUGAGCAGGAGACUGAAUGUGGAUAUAAAUGUUCAUUUUAGAUUAUUGGCUGUAGGGUAAGGUUUCUAUUAUGAUUUAAUGCCAACAAGUUUAGUUUAGUUCACUAGUUUAUUUGAUGAGGACACCCGGUGCACUGCUGUGGUUUGUGGGUCAGUCGGUUGCAGUCAAUGAAGGGCUUCUAGUAAAUACGAGAGGCUGUUGCUGAAACCAUAAACCACCAGCCAGUAAAGAUUUACAGUUUUAUGUUCCUUUAUUUGUUUGCUUUAUGGUUGUUUACAGGCCACAGUGAUAAAAUGUGAUGAAUUUGCUUGCACGAUGAACCCACUACAGUUCAACUUCAAACACCCUCAGAGGUUCAAGCUGGACUUCUUUCUAUGUCUAGAACUUUAAUGGAUUCUGUUUUUUGUUUAAUAACUGUGACUUAUACUUUUUUCAUAUAAUGAAGUUACACAUACAUUCUGUCUUUUGCAUCAAGUUCACUUUUAGUAAUUCCACCACGCAGUAAAUCUGUGUGAUUUUGAUGUGUGGCUAACUCAGCUUCUUUUAGAAAUAGUGACUCAGUGGAGUCUGACACUCAGACGAUCAGCCAAUAGAGUUUCUGGUGAAGCUGGAGCCAAAUAACUGCUUUGAAACUGAUUCUUAGAGUCCAGAGUGAACCGUCAGUGUCCUUAAACAAUUUGUUUAUUGCCCACA